RNAcentral lists this transfer RNA (69 nucleotides) under Caliris sp. JZ-2017. RNAcentral describes it as "tRNA-Ser". Lineage: Eukaryota; Metazoa; Arthropoda; Insecta; Mantodea; Haaniidae. The record is from RNAcentral.
GUUAUAAUCUAAUGAAUAGAAUUAUGUUUUGAAAUCAUAAAUUAAAGGUUAAAAUCCCUUAAUAACUUU